CACGUAGGGUGCGAGCGUUGUCCGGAAUUACUGGGCGUAAAGAGCUCGUAGGUGGUUUGUCGCGUUGUUCGUGAAAACCGGGGGCUUAACCCUCGGCGUGCGGGCGAUACGGGCAGACUUGAGUACUGCAGGGGAGACUGGAAUUCCUGGUGUAGCGGUGGAAUGCGCAGAUAUCAGGAGGAACACCGGUGGCGAAGGCGGGUCUCUGGGCAGUAACUGACGCUGAGGCACGAAAGCGUGGGUAUCAAACAGG
RNAcentral lists this ribosomal RNA (253 nucleotides) under uncultured bacterium. RNAcentral's name for it is "partial 16S ribosomal RNA". It matches the Rfam family "Bacterial small subunit ribosomal RNA", at positions 524 to 776 of the family's 1533-position model. The record is from RNAcentral.